RNAcentral lists this ribosomal RNA (253 nucleotides) under uncultured bacterium. RNAcentral describes it as "partial 16S ribosomal RNA". It matches the Rfam family "Bacterial small subunit ribosomal RNA", at positions 524 to 776 of the family's 1533-position model. The record is from RNAcentral.
UACGUAGGGUGCGAGCGUUGCCCGGAUUUAUUGGGCGUAAAGGGCGCGUAGGCGGUCUUGCAAGUCCUGUGUGAAAUCCCUCGGCUCAACUGAGGAACUGCACAGGAAACUGCUUGGCUUGAGUUCGGGAGAGGGAAGCGGAAUUCCGGGUGUAGCGGUGAAAUGCGUAGAUAUCCGGAGGAACACCGGUGGCGAAGGCGGCUUCCUGGACCGACACUGACGCUGAGGCGCGAAAGCUAGGGGAGCAAACGGG